GACGAACGCUGGCGGCGUGCUUAACACAUGCAAGUCGAACGGAAAGGCCCUGCUUUUGUGGGGUGCUCGAGUGGCGAACGGGUGAGUAACACGGGAGUAACCUGCCCUUGACUUUGGGAUAACUUCAGGAAACUGGGGCUAAUACCGGAUAGGAGCUCCUGCUGCAUGGGGGGGGUUGGAAAGUUUCGGCGGUUGGGGAUGGACUCGCGGCUUAUCAGCUUGUUGGUGGGGUAGUGGCUUACCAAGGCUUUGACGGGUAGCCGGCCUGAGAGGGUGACCGGCCACAUUGGGACUGAGAUACGGCCCCGACUCCGACGGGAGGCAGCAGUGGGGAAUAUUGCACAAUGGGCGGCAGCCUGAUGCAGCAACGCCGCGUGCGGGAUGACGGCCUUCGGGUUGUAAACCGCUUUCGCCUGUGACGAAGCGUGAGUGACGGUAAUGGGUAAAGAAGCACCGGCUAACUACGUG
Molecule: ribosomal RNA, 468 nt
Filed under: uncultured bacterium
Lineage: Bacteria
Description: partial 16S ribosomal RNA
Rfam family: Bacterial small subunit ribosomal RNA
Source: RNAcentral